AUCCAAGGAAGUUGACAUGUCAUCACUUCAUUUUUUUGCGCCUGCGCAUAAAUCUGAGAAACGUGAGUUUGUCAUCAUUUUUUAUCUAGACAUAGGAUAGGUUGUGUGAAAAUAUUACUGAUGUUUAACGUUAAAAAUGGACCAAAAGAUUAAUGCUAAACAACAUUUGACAUGUUUGAACGAACAUAAAUAGAUUAUUUACUAGGUUUUUUUAGCUUUUCGGCGUGAUUUUACCAGCCCCACCACGUUUUGUGGGAGCAUAAUGAACGCUAAGUACUUGGUGUUAUUUGGACAUAAAUUAUGAACUUUGUCAAAAGAAACCACAUUUGUUCCGGACCUGGAAUGCCUUCCGGACCUGGGAUCCUGCCUUCUGAUGGAGAUAAUCAAAGGAAAUGAGCUUGGCUAGGAUCCUGAUAAACACAAGUUAAAGAAUUACAGCGAGAAGAAAAUCGAUAUUCACAGUGAGAUGACGGGGAGUGAGGAAUCCAGAAUGAAGAGCGGUGUUUUGUCAAAUGUUUUCUUUGAAUAAAUUAAGAAGAUGAGCACCUUACGACGCCAAUGACAGAACCAACCACCAAAAGAGGACCAAGCAGCAGAAGGAGGAGCAGCAAGAAUGGACAUGGGAGCAAAUAUUGGACGGCAAGGGAUCCUAGACAUGGGAGGAGAUCCAGAAGGGAUUUUAUUGCCGUCCAUGGGAACUCCCCGUGCUUAUUAUGGGGAGCGACGGAUCAAGCAAGCCCCUUGUUAUGCGGAGAUACGCACUGUGUCGCCCAUACGCACGCACAGUCCGGUGCGGUCAAUAAGACCUCUGCA
Molecule: long non-coding RNA, 813 nt
Filed under: Salmo salar (Atlantic salmon)
Lineage: Eukaryota; Metazoa; Chordata; Actinopteri; Salmoniformes; Salmonidae
Description: lncRNA (ENSSSAG00000111292.1)
Source: RNAcentral